CAUAAGACGAAAAGACCCUAUGGAGCUUUAAGCUAUUAUACUACCAAACCACAAACCCCCCUUCCACCGUCCUAGUAUAUACUUUCAGUUGGGGCAACUACGGAGCAAAACAAAAACUCCACGGACAAACGUCUAAUACACGCAGCACCUCAGGCUGCCACGCCGUACACCCCAGACCCAGUCUAACUGAGCAACGGACCAAGUUACCCUAGGGAUAACAGCGCCAUCUUCCCCCCAGAGCCCAUAUCCACGGGGAGGCUUACGACCUCGAUGUUGGAUCAGGACCCCCCGGCGGUGCAGCCGCUGCCAAAGGUUCGUUUGUUCAACGACUAACGUCCU
This 339-nucleotide ribosomal RNA is filed under the name Lygodactylus madagascariensis. Its description in RNAcentral is "partial large subunit ribosomal RNA". It matches the Rfam family "Bacterial large subunit ribosomal RNA", at positions 2076 to 2597 of the family's 2925-position model. Lineage: Eukaryota; Metazoa; Chordata; Lepidosauria; Squamata; Gekkonidae. The record is from RNAcentral.